RNAcentral lists this long non-coding RNA (257 nucleotides) under Malus domestica (apple). Its description in RNAcentral is "long non-coding RNA (MDOM_LNC005758)". The record is from RNAcentral. Lineage: Eukaryota; Viridiplantae; Streptophyta; Magnoliopsida; Rosales; Rosaceae.
ACAAAACAUAAUGGAAUAGGGAUAUACGGCUUUUUGGCCAUGGUGGACACUACACAACUUAAUCUUGAAUAUGUGUUAUGCAAAUCAAUGACAUGUUUUGAAUGAAAUGGGCAUGAGUUCUAGUGUUUAGUUCUAAGUGAUGAAACGCCUUCUAAGUAGCAACCAAGCAAAGAAUAAUGAGAUCAUGCAACGACUUUAGAAAACAAAGAAUGCACAUAUUUUAACUCUCCAAAUAAACGUUUAGGCUCAAGUCUCAC